RNAcentral lists this ribosomal RNA (429 nucleotides) under uncultured bacterium. Its description in RNAcentral is "bacterial SSU rRNA". It matches the Rfam family "Bacterial small subunit ribosomal RNA", at positions 355 to 775 of the family's 1533-position model. The record is from RNAcentral.
UGGGGAAUAUUGGACAAUGGGGGCAACCCUGAUCCAGCGAUGCCGCGUGUGCGAAGAAGGCCUGCGGGUUGUAAAGCACUUUAGUUGGGGAAGAAAGGCUAUCUUUCGAAUAGGGAGGUAGUUUGACGUUACCCAAAGAAUAAGCACCGGCUAACUCUGUGCCAGCAGCCGCGGUAAUACAGAGGGUGCGAGCGUUAAUCGGAAUUACUGGGCGUAAAGGGCGCGUAGGCGGUUGUAUAAGUUAGAGGUGAAAUCCCCGGGCUUAACCUAGGAACGGCCUUUAAGACUGUACGGCUAGAGUAGUGUAGAGGGGAGUGGAAUUUCCGGUGUAGCGGUGAAAUGCGUAGAUAUCGGAAAGAACACCAGUGGCGAAGGCGGCUCCCUGGACACAUACUGACGUUGAGGCGCGAAAGCAUGGGUAGCAAACAG